Molecule: RNA transcript, 1471 nt
Organism: Spinacia oleracea (spinach)
Lineage: Eukaryota; Viridiplantae; Streptophyta; Magnoliopsida; Caryophyllales; Amaranthaceae
Exons: 7
Source: RefSeq, a predicted model, not a curated record
UUCAACUUUAGGAAAAAAAAUACCCCACUCUCCGAUACGGAAGAAGCCUCCAAAACUUCUUCUUUGAGGUUCUCCAUUCUUUUCGCUCUUUUAAUGGUCAGAUUAUAGAAUUCUCAAGCCAAACUCAAUCGAUCGAUUCUGUAGAAAAAAUUUACUCAAAAUUCUAAAGAAUAACAAGCAGUUGGUGUUUGGGGAUGUCUAUGGAGCUGGUUCGCUUCCUAAACAGGUGGAGCUUGAAAAAGCCCAGAAUGUGGACCUUAAAUUCCAAGUUCCUGAUGUUGGUAAAGCGAUUCAGAAUUUUAUUCAUGAUGAAGAUAUACGGCUUGAUACGAUCAAAGCUAGAUGGUUUUUGCAUUGUUAAAGUUAGAAAUGUCAUCAAACGACAUGCUGAAUAGACGGAGCGACUUUCAAGGCAUUCAAAGAAGCCGAUGUAGAUUUAGACGGAAAGAUUUGUAGAUCUGAAUGGCAUCAAAUUGUAUCCAAAAAUCCCAAAUUGUUGAAAAUAAUGACUCUCCAAUAUCUCAGAGGACUAAAGCUAUCAAGGCCCGACUUGAGCAAAUGGACCGCGCUACUGCUGAAAAUUGCCGCCUAUCUUCUGAAUUGAGUACCCCAAUUGAUCGCUCACACUGGGUUAAUAAUUCAAGAGAGCACUGGAAUAUAGCUGCACAUUCAGUCAAAAAACUGAAUGAUCUCUAUGAUUUUAUUACUCAACCCACCAAAUUAUCACAGCAUGAAGAACAUCUAGCUGUUGAACACUGCAAACACAACAACCUAACUGGCUGCACUGACUGACUGGAAAAGCACAGCUGCUGCCUGCUGCCAACUGAAACCCACCAGAACUCUAUCCGAAAGACCCUGCAGAACCUGCUCAGAAGCAAAAGCCACUAGACCAAGCUGCUGCCACCUGACUACAUUAUUUCGCGCGUGCAUAAAUCAGGAAAUAAUGUGCAUAAUCUAACUUAUAUAUUUAGAGGUUAUACUUAGAAUUCGUGUAUAUGAUGUGUUCUCUAAUCUAGGAAAUGCGCUCCUCAAGUUUGUACUUGAGUUUUGAUUUCCUCCAUUGCACCUUAGUUUUGAUUUCCUCCAUUGUUUCAUCUUUCUUUUCUAAGGUGAGGAACCAUGCAUUUUCUUGAGGUUCAUUUAGUUGAUUUAAUUUUUCUGAAUUUUUAGGGAUUAUAACACUCAAUUUAUGAGUUCAUUGAUUAAUUCAGAAUUUAGGAAUUUUCUGAUUUUUUCGAGUUUGAUCAAAAGUGGAGACACAUCAAGGAGAAGAAUUAACAAUCCGGGAAAAAAAAUCUACGAGAGAAGAAAUUAAGUAAUAUGAUGUAAAUUUUGAAUUGUUUUAGUUGUUUUUACUUUUUAGUACUGAAUUUGAGUAAAUUGUGUUCAUUUCUUAUUUUACGUAAAAUCCCCACGAAUUAUAUAAUUUGGUUUGGUUUGUGACAAUAUAUCCAUCUAUCAUUUUAGUUUG